Molecule: non-coding RNA, 71 nt
Organism: Parelaphostrongylus tenuis
Lineage: Eukaryota; Metazoa; Nematoda; Chromadorea; Rhabditida; Metastrongylidae
Source: the annotation of a GenBank genome assembly
GCCUUGGUGGUGUAGUGGGUACCGCGCGCUCCUGGUACAGGUGAACGCGGGUUAAAGUCUCGUCUGGGGUU